This 1239-nucleotide long non-coding RNA is filed under the name Olea europaea subsp. europaea. Lineage: Eukaryota; Viridiplantae; Streptophyta; Magnoliopsida; Lamiales; Oleaceae. The record is from RNAcentral.
GCCGACAAGAAGCCCUAAUCUUUCUUCCGUCAAUUUCUCUCAAAUCACUGACGGCAAGCUUCAUUUUCCAGUUGCCAAUCAUCAGACGUCCACACUCCAGUGCUAAAGUAAGUAUAUUUCCUUAUUUUCUGUACCUAUUUCUCCCAGUCUAUCUCUAACAUAACAAAUAUGGAGGGUAAAAUCCUAUACAUUUUUUCUUUGCUUCUCAUUUUUGGCUUGACUCUUCAGGCUUGAGAACUCGUCUAGCCUUGCCCUCGUCCACAAAACUGUAGGAAUCAUUGAAACUUGAACUGCGUCAGCCGUCAUGUCCUGUUAUAGAAUAUCAAAUGUUCAUCAGUUUUGUGUGGCAAGAAUCUGUAUUCCAAGUAUGAACGAACUUGUAGGCAGUAGCUAAACAUUUGUGUGCUUGCAUUAACUGUUUAUUCGAAGUAUAAAUGUGUAUAUUACAUCACAUGUAGAACAAUAUGUACAAUACCUAUGUAGAAAAAUAUUGCAUGUACAUUCAGCAUUUAAAAUAGAACUUUAGGCUUAAUCUGCCUUGGAUAAAACUUUAGGCUUUAGCCAUUAUUCACUACAUAUUAACUUUAGGCUUUUCUCACUAAUUUUUUUCUUUUUGUGUUGGAACUAAUGCAGUUGAAGAUCUUCUGGAAAUUGGAGUUAGAAUAACUUGCACUGUCCUUAAGUAAUGGACUCAAGUGCAAUAUUCUUCCUUCCUUGUAUUGCAUUAAUAAUUGUAAUUUAAUAAAUGCAUUUUGGUGUAUUCAUAAUUUUUGUGGAAUAUGUUGGUAAAUAUAUAUAAAAGGUAAAAAACAGAUUGACCUUCACUCACACAAGGAUUUGACAGGUAAAGCUAAACAGGAGAAACUUAUUUGCAUUUGUUUUUUCCUAUCUUCUUGUUGAUUCAUUUAUGAAUGACACAUGAAACUGCAGUGUGUAACAGGCUCUUGUGUUUUUGUUAGCGCUUGUUGUGACGACUAUCAAGAGAACAGUUUGUAUUUUUUAUUGGGAUUUGUCUGGAGAUUGAAGACAGUUUCCAAUGUUGCUGGCAUUUCCUGAAUUGCUUCUGAAAUGCAAAGUUUCUGAUGAAUCAUUGUGAUUGUGCAGCUGGUACUAGUUUACUAUAUUAUUUUUCAAGUGUUUUGACAAUGGAUGACUGGAUUAAUUGUAUUUGGGUGAAUUUUUACUUGAAUGGUUGUUCCCUGUAUUAAAUAUUAAUCAUAUUUCGAUUAUUUGGAUGAC